Molecule: long non-coding RNA, 1929 nt
Filed under: Canis lupus familiaris (dog)
Lineage: Eukaryota; Metazoa; Chordata; Mammalia; Carnivora; Canidae
Description: lncRNA (ENSCAFG00000051043.1)
Source: RNAcentral
UUUUUUUAUUUUUUUUAUUUUUUUUCUAAUCAGAUGGCCCAGAAGAGGGGACAUGAUGGAUGAGAGCAUUAUUAGGAAGUUCUGAGAAGGAAAAAAGAGCCCUGCCAUCUGACUGCUUCAAACUAGUCUGAUGAAUGGCUCACUCAUGGUGGGCCCCCCCUAAAAGUGACCCAAGAUCUGCAUUUAUUCCACUUUCUUGGCUGAUGCCAAGCGUCGACCGGCUCCGUUCCUCUCACUUCCCGCCUAAAACUUAUCAACCUGAAAUUAUCCCAAAAGCAACCAACCCAGAACACCUUCUUGCUCCCUGCAGCUGCCCUGAAGCCGCUCAAGGUAAGGCCACGUGCUUGUGUAGGCCGUGCGAGCUCCUCACUCACCCAGAUGGCUCACUCUUCUCGCACGCAUGCCCUGCAUUUGCCGCAAAGGACCAAACUCAGGUUGGACGACGGAAGGGCCCCGGCCUGGCUGGCGGCGGUGCUUGCUCAGUGCUGGAGCGUACAGCUGUAGGCAGGCUCUCACUCCUGGCCCCGAGAGGGUGGUCGUAUUGCACUUCUCGGAUUCCUCUAGCUCCCCAGGAACAGCGUGCCCUGCCCCCCGGGGAACCCGUGCUGGUGACCAUCGUGGCUACAUCUGGAGCGAGCACCCUAACAGUUGGGAAGCAGCAGGAUCUCCACCAGGUUGAGAGGUUGUUGGCAAUGGGAAGACUCCAGCCCACACAUGCCCGGCAGAAACAGACUCUGCACCCUAGCCCGGCAUCCAGCAUGUUCCCUGAAAUGGCACUGCUCGGGGGAUGCUAUUAAAUAUGACAAAUAUGUUCACACCACGUCUGUGCAAUCUUUUGCGGCCUCUCGCUUGGAAUCAGGACAGUGUGCAACCUGUGUGCCUUGUGAUUUGGGGCGUAUGAUGACCUUGACGCUGUUCCCCACACCUUUCCCAAAGACACCUUCUGUUUUCCAGCCAUGACAAUAAAGCUCUGGCUCCCCAAACUUCCUGUCUUCUCAGUUGGAAGGUGUACAGUUGACCUCCCCGAGCCCUCACCACCACCGUUUCGUUCACAUGGACGCCCACCCAUACUUGCAGACAUGUGGUUUGGUGGUGCUUCCUAGAGAAUGCUCGCCAGUCCCGGCAGAUGGGGUGAAGGGGGUGUGUCUACACUCCUACUGGCGCGGUGGGGACCAUGUCCAGAGCCUACUGACAUUCUGUCCCUGUACUUCCCUGACUUCCAUGCCUGGUUCUAGGAUGGAAAGAGUGUUUCCUUUCGUUUCUAAUGCUGCCCCCAGCACACGGCCUGGGGCCAUGGAGAUGCUGGGUAAAAGGUUCCCUGAGUGAAUAAAUGGGUGAGUGUUUCAGUCGAAUGAGUGAAUGCAUACAUUGUUUGCCAUUUUCCAAGUCAGGGUGGUCAAGAAUGUAUGCAAUGGUGGAAAAGACAGUGACUCCUCAUCUACCUAACAUUUGCUUAAGAUUCAAUACUAUCAUAUUAGAGGGGUUUUUUUUCCCUUUUUUUUUUAAAUUUUUUAUUUAUUUAUGAUAGGCACACAGUGAGAGAGAGAGAGAGGCAGAGACACAGGCAGAGGGAGAAGCAGGCUCCAUGCACCGGGAGCCCGACGUGGGACUCGAUCCCGGGUCUCUAGGAUCGCGCCCUGGGCCAAAGGCAGGCGCUAAACCCCUGCGCCACCCAGGAAUUCCAUAUUAGAGGUUUUAAAAAUUUUUUUCAAUUUUGAAUCCAUGGAAAUGGCAUUUCCAUUAAAUAUAUAUUGAUGUUAUAUAUGCAUAUAUGUAUGUAUGAGAACAUUAUAUUUUCACAUAUAUGAUAAAUGUAAUAUAUACACAUAUGCAAUAUAUAAAAUAUGUAUGUAAAUAUAUAAAAAUCAAAAUUCUAUAAUCUGUGAUAUAUGUAAAGUAUAUAAAUUACAGAUUAUAACAUAUAGUUAU